This 279-nucleotide long non-coding RNA is filed under the name Mytilus galloprovincialis (Mediterranean mussel). The record is from RNAcentral. Lineage: Eukaryota; Metazoa; Mollusca; Bivalvia; Mytilida; Mytilidae.
GCACCCUUGCUAAUUGUUCUGUUCAUUUAAACAGGAUUUAUUUCAAACAUGCAGAAAGAUAUGAGAAAAACAUCUAGCUAAAUUUAUCCCUGUGAAUUUGAUAUCAUGGAUACUAUUGAGGGAGAUCAGGCCUAUUUCAUAUCUGGAUUUCUUUCUUGAAAUUUAUGUCCUCUAACCAGAAAAACCCUUGUUUUCCCCCCUUUUUUGUCCCUAUUUGCUAAAUGAUUUGAGCUAUAAUCCCCCCUAUAACCAUCCUUUUGUAGUAUGGAAACUUGUGGU